UAGGGAAUAUUGGGCAAUGGAAGCAAUUCUGACCCAGCCAUGCCGCGUGAAGGAAUACAGCCCUAUGGGUUUUAAACUUCUUUUAUUAUAGAGUAACCGGAGGUACGUGUACCUCCCUGCAAGUAAAUGAUGAAUAAGGAUCGGCUAACUCCGUGCCAGCAGCCGCGGUAAUAAGGAGGAUCCAAGCGUUAUCCGGAUUUAUUGGGUUUAAAGGGUGCGCAGGCGGAGCAAUAAGUCAGGGGUGAAAAAUGUCAGCUUAACUGGAAUCGUGCCUUUGAUACUGUUGGACUAGAUUAUAAUUGACGUGACUGGAAUGUGAUGUGUAGCGGUGAAAGGCUUAGAUAUGUCACAGAACGCCAAUCGUGAAGACAGGUCACGAAAUUAUUACUGACGCUCAUGCACGAAAGCGUGGGGAUCAAACA
RNAcentral lists this ribosomal RNA (422 nucleotides) under uncultured prokaryote. Its description in RNAcentral is "bacterial SSU rRNA". It matches the Rfam family "Bacterial small subunit ribosomal RNA", at positions 355 to 774 of the family's 1533-position model. The record is from RNAcentral.